UACGGAGGGUGCAAGCGUUAUUCGGAAUUACUGGGCGUAAAGCGCACGCAGGCGGCUUGUUAAGUCAGCUGUGAAAUCCCCGGGCUCAACCUGGGAACUGCAUUUGAAACUGGCAAGCUAGAGUCUGGUAGAGGCAGGUGGAAUUCCAGGUGUAGCGGUGAAAUGCGUAGAGAUCUGGAAGAACACCGGUGGCGAAGGCGGCCCCCUGGACUAAGACUGACGCUGAUGUGCGAAAGCGUGGGGAGCAAACAGG
RNAcentral lists this ribosomal RNA (253 nucleotides) under uncultured bacterium. Its description in RNAcentral is "partial 16S ribosomal RNA". It matches the Rfam family "Bacterial small subunit ribosomal RNA", at positions 524 to 776 of the family's 1533-position model. The record is from RNAcentral.